Molecule: long non-coding RNA, 1880 nt
Organism: Cyanistes caeruleus (blue tit)
Lineage: Eukaryota; Metazoa; Chordata; Aves; Passeriformes; Paridae
Source: RefSeq, a predicted model, not a curated record
CCUGUGAAGUGGCAUUGUCUCUCCCAUGCACCCAACUAGAGCGAGAUGCAGAAAGGUCAAAGCCAUGUUCGACCAGGAGCUGCCAGGAGGAUCCCUCAACCAGCAGCACCCAGCUCCACCAGCACUGGGCCAGAGCCCCAAGAGCUUAACAGCUACUGCAGGUUGUGCUAAAGGAGCAGCUCAGUGGAUCAGUGACUGAUGGGCAGCUCUGAGCUUUGCUAAAACGUUCCUGAGGUUGAAGUUGAGAGAAAACUAGUGCUUGUGGAUUUCCAGAGCCGACAACAGUGCAAACAGCUGUGCAAGUUCAAUUUUCCUUUUGUUUUUUUGUCUACUACCUGGACCGACCUUCUUAGAGAGCAUCUUAUCUCCCAGAUGAGAUAGCAGCCAUGGCUCUAAGACAAUUAGAGGCAAUUUAAAGUGGUGUGGCUGCAAAUCCCAUUUUUGAGCACACAGUCCUACCUCCGUUUCUGUUGCUUGUCUGGCUGACUCAGUGAAGCUAUCUAUGGGAAAAAUGAUAGGGCAUUUCUGCCAGCACUGGGAGGUGAUCAGACUCACUGGGGAAGCAGUGUCAGUGAUAGGAGGCAAACCCAUGUAGCUGGAGGCAGUAACUUGCAUAAGGGAUAGCAGGACCCUAGCCAUCACAAUUCACUUUUGUUUUAGCCUUCAUGGAAAGAUUCAUAGCAUCAUUCCGAUUAAUAAGACCCUUAUUAAUUAAGGUAAAAGACCCUUAGGAUCAUUGAGUUCAACCACUAAUGUAAUACUACCAAAUCCACCACUCUCCAUUAGCACCACAUCUUGCCAAUCUUUUAAAUCUCUUCAGGGAUAAUAAUUCCACCACUUCCCUGGACAACCUGUUCCAAUGCUUGACUACUCUUUCCAUAAAAAAAUUUUUCUUAGUACCCAUUCUAAACCUCUCUUGGUGCAACUUGAGGCCAUUUUCUCUCGUUCCAUUGCUUGUUAAUUGAGUGAAGAGAACAACCCUCACCCUGCUACGGCUUCCUUUGCAGUAGUUGUGGACAGCAGUGAGGUAUCCCUUGAAAUUUCUCCAGGCUAAACAACCCCUAACACUCCACUCAGUCACUCUUCAUAAGACUUGUGCUCCAGACUCUUCACCAGCUCUAUUGCCCUUGUCUGGACAUGCUCCAGCACCUCAAUUUUUUUCUUGUAGUGGGGGGCCCUGUGAGCAGGGCUUUCAUCAGCAGUCUGAAUGAAAGCAGCAUGCUUUCAUCCUCUCCCCUCCUUGGCACAUUUCCUGCACCAUUCCUUAUGCUCUGCAAUCAGCAAAGCAAUCUGGCUGAAAGAAAAAAAUAAAAUUAAAAAGUCUUACUUCCAGGAUUAGUUUUCAAAUUGCAGCAGCAUGGUCUGAGAUCAUACUAGGCUGCCAGUGAAAUCCGUAACUUUACCUCAUAUCUGGAAUCAGAGCAGCCAGUCCACUGGACUAGGGGCAACCUGGACCAGCAAGGCUGGGAUGUUGCUCUUCUGACACAGGCCUGCUCCUCACACGGGUGGUGAAAGUGGAAAAAGGGAAGUACGUGGUAGUUUGCAGUAACUGGGAUCCUGAUGUAUGUCUACUAAAAAUUAUUCAGCUUCAUUUCAACCCUUGGCCAUUUUUCCUAACUUGCAAAGGAUGCAGUCAGAAGUGACACUGAAAAGAGGGCAAGCUAUUUUAUCCUGGAAGCUCACCACGUCCUGCGCUUCCUGGUUACAGGACCUAAGAGGGAGAAACCACACCCCAAAGUACAUCAAGGCAAGAGCACCAAGGAUAACAUCCACAAUUCAAAAUUCAACCUGGAAAUAAGCAUCUAAAACCAAGAAACUGGAAGAACAUCUGUAUUUUGGCUGCUGCGACUUUGAGCAAUAAGAUACUUGCAUAAAUGUGA